GAUGAACGCUGGCGGCGUGCCUAACACAUGCAAGUCGAGCGACCAGACGAGGAGUUUCCUCCGGUGACGUUAGGGGCGGGCGGGUGAGAAACACGUGGACAACCCCUCUAUAAGGGUGUAGCCACGUCAAGACAGGGGAGCUACUACCGGCGAAUCUCGUGUACCGCAUGGUUCCAUAGUGAAAGCCCGCUUUGCUGUUAGUUAUUGGCGGAUCCGCGGCGCAUUAGCUAGUUGGUAAGGUAACGGCUUACCAAGGCAACGGUGCGUAGCCGGCCUGAGAGGGUGAUCAGCCACACUGGAACUGAGACACGGUCCAGACUCCUACGGGAGGCAGCAGUAGGGAAUCUUGCGCAAUGGGCGAAAGCUUGACGCAGCAACGCCGCGUGGGGGAAGAAGGUCUUCGGGUUGUAAAACCCUGUUAGUAGGGAAGAACAAACGUGGAAGUAAAUAUGCACGGCUUGACGGUACCUAAACAAAAAGCCACGGCUAACUACGUG
Molecule: ribosomal RNA, 497 nt
Filed under: uncultured bacterium
Lineage: Bacteria
Description: partial 16S ribosomal RNA
Rfam family: Bacterial small subunit ribosomal RNA
Source: RNAcentral